GCGGGUGCCACUUUUUCUUUGCUAAAAACCGUCCGCUUAUCCUGCCUUUUUCUUUCGACCGAUCAAAUCGACUGAGGGUUUAAAGGUCAACUUCUCUCUUAACCAGCCUUAGAACAAUUAAUUAAUACUCCAAAAACAUAAAACAAAAGCAAACUCGCACCGCCAACGUGUUUUCCGAUGGCGAUCCUUUUUCGUGGAUCAUUUCUUCAAUUCGCAGAACCAUAUAAGAGAAGAUAGCAAUCUGGUGCAAACCGCUUAUCAUAAACCAUGUUCGAAGCUCACGUUCUGCAUUUGCUUCGAAGAUAUUUGGGUGAAUAUGUCCAUGGACUUUCUGCGGAGGCAUUAAGAAUCAGUGUUUGGAAAGGUGAUGUGGUAUUGAAAGAUUUGAAUUUGAAGGCAGAGGCACUAAAUUCAUUAAAGCUUCCUGUUACUGUCAAAGCUGGUUUUGUUGGUACCAUAACAUUGAAGGUUCCCUGGAAAAGCUUAGGCAAGGAACCGGUAAUUGUUCUCAUUGAUCGUGUCUUCAUUCUCGCCCAUCCUGCUCCUGAUGGCCAGACUCUCAAGGAUGACAGGGAGAAACUUUUUGAAGCCAAACUUCAGCACAUUGAGGAAGCAGAAUCAGCAAUCCUAGAAGCAAAAUCAAGGUCAAAGCAUGGCAGUCCUCCUGAAAAUUCAUGGUUUGGAUCUCUAAUUGCUACCAUCAUUGGAAAUCUAAAGAUAUCAAUCAGCAAUGUACAUAUCAGAUAUGAGGAUUCUGUUAGUAAUCCAGGGCAUCCGUUUGCAUCAGGUAUUACUUUGGCUAGGCUGGCAGCUGUUACUAUGGAUGAGCAGGGAAAUGAAAUUUUUGAUACCAGUGGCGCUUUGGAUAAGUUGCGAAAGUCAUUACAUCUUGAGAGGCUUGCUCUGUAUCAUAAUUCUAAUAGCUUCCCCUGGAAGAUAGAUAAGAGAUGGGAAGAUCUCAGUCCCGCGGAGUGGAAUGAGAUAUUUGAAGAUGGUAUUAAUGAACCUGCUGCUGAUUCUGGAAUGGUAUCUUCUUGGGCUUUGAGUUGCAAGUACUUGGUGUCACCUAUUAAUGGAGUGCUUCAAUAUCACCGCCUUGGAAAUCAAGAAAGAAAUGAUCCAGAGAUUCCUUUUGAGAAGGCUUCGCUUGUAUUGACUGAUGUAUCAUUAACUAUUACAGAGGAGCAAUAUCAUGAUUGGAUGAAACUGUUAGAGGUGUUUUCAAGACACAGGACAUUUGUGGAAGUUUACCACUUAAGGCCUUUCUUGCCAGUUUCAGAGGUUCCUCGUUUGUGGUGGCGUUAUGCUGUUCAAGCUUCCCUUCAGCAGAAGAAAAUGUGCUAUCGUUUCUCGUGGGACAAAAUUCAGCAUCUCUGUCAGCUUCGUCGUCGUUAUGUUCAGUUAUAUGCUUGUUCCUUGCAACAAUCAUCAACUGUUGAUAACUCAGAAAUUAGAGAAAUAGAGGCAGAUCUUGAUUCCAAAGUAAUUCUUUUAUGGAGGUUACUUGCACAUGCCAAGGUUGAAUCAGUAAAAUCAAAAGAAGAAACUAAAAAGAGGCGGCUUAAAAAGAAAAGUUGGUUCCGAUAUACAUGGCUUCCGAACUCAGAGGGUGCCUCUGUUGGGGAUGCUUUGAAGGAAUCACAGCUAGUGGAAGAAAGUCUGACUAAUGAAGAAUGGCAGACAAUAAAUAAGUUGCUAAGUUACCAGCCGGAUGAGGAGUUGAUGUUACAUUUAGGAAAGGACAUGCAUAACAUGACCAAGUUUUUAGUGACUGUAUCUAUUGGUCAAGCUGCAGCAAGGAUUAUGAGUAUCAAUGAAACUGAAAUCCUUUGUGGUCGGUUUGAGCAACUUCAUGUUUCAACCAAGUUCAAACAUUGCAGUACUCACUGUGAUAUAUUAUUGAAAUUCUAUGGCUUAUCUUCACCUGAAGGUUCACUUGCUGAGAGUGUCUCCAGUGAGACGAAGGAAAAUGCAUUAGCUGCUACUUUUGUACGUUCACCAGUUGGGGAGAAUGUUGAUUGGAGGCUAUCAGCUACAAUUUCCCCCUGCCAUGUUACGGUUUUGAUGAAAAGUUUUGAUAAGUUUUUUGAGUUUAUAAAGAGAAGUAAUGCAAUUAGCCCAACUAUUGCAUUGGAAACUGCCACUGCUUUGCAGAUGAAGUUUGAGAAAGUGACUCGUCGAGCACAAGAGCAAUUUCAAAUGGUCUUGGAAGAACAAAGCAGUUUUGCUCUUGACAUUGAUCUUGAUGCUCCAAAGGUUAGAGUUCCUAUAAGGACCUCUAGCUUCUCCAGAUGUGAUAGCUAUUUUCUCUUGGAUUUUGGUCAUUUUACUCUGCACACCAUGGGAGGCCAUUCUGAGGAAAAUAAGCAAAAUAUUUAUUCUCGUUUCUACAUAUCUGGAAGAGAUAUUGCUGCUUUUUUCAUAGAUGGCACUUUUGACACUCGGCAGUGUACUUCGGUCAUAGCAAUGGAUUAUAGUCAACCAGUUGUAUCUCCUACAAUGGAAAAAGUUGACAGUUUCUAUUCUCUCAUUGAUAGGUGUGGAAUGGCAGUAAUUGUUGAUCAGAUCAAAGUUCCUCAUCCAAGUUAUCCAUCGACUCGUGUUUCUGUUCAAGUGCCAAAUCUUGGUGUUCACUUUUCACCUGAGCGAUAUCUCCGACUCAUGGAAUUAUUAAACUUACUUAAAGGUACUAUGGAAACCUAUGGUCAGCCUUGUAUUGAUGAUUUCCAAGCCAACCUAGCCCCUUGGUGUCCUGCUGAUCUUGCUGUUGAGGCUAGAAUUCUAGUAUGGACGGGGAUUGGCAAUUCUGUUGCUGCUUGGCAACCUUGUUUUCUUGUGUUAUCUGGUUUAUAUCUCUAUGUCAUGGAAUCUGAAAAGUCCAAGAGCUACCAGCGAUACUUGAGUAUGGCUGGUAGGCAUGUGUUUGAGAUUCCACCGGCAAAUAUUGGUGGUUCACCAUUUUGUAUUGCUAUAAGUUUCAGAGGAAUGGAUAGUCAAAAGCAGGCUCUGGAAUCUUCUGGUACAUUGAUUAUAAAGUUUUGGGAAGACAGCGAGAAGGCAACUUGGCUGAAAGAACUUAUGGGGGCCACAUAUCAAGCCUCAGCUACUCCAAUGGAUGAUGUACUUUCAGAAAAAACUGAUGGUGUAGCUGAGUUUAAUGAACUCCAGACAACAAAUUUGAAAACAGCGAACCUUGUCAUUGAUGGGGCAUUGGUGGAAACAACGUUAUUUAUAUAUGGAAAGAGUGGAGACAAAGUAGAAGAGAAACUUGAAGAGACUUUAAUUCUUGAGGUUCUUGCUGAUGGGGCAAAGGUGCACUUAAUUAGUUUGGAUGGUGACCUAGGUGUCAAGAUGAAUUUGCACUCCUUGAAAAUUAAAGAUGCUCUUCAAGAUCGACAAUCUGCAAAUCAACAGUACUUAGCAUAUUCUGUGCUGAAGAAGGAUGAUUUACUUACUCCUCAUGGCACUUGUGAUACCCUUGAGAAGGAGUCGUCUGUUGUACAUAAAGAGGAGGACGAUACUUUUACAGAUGCUUUGCCAGAAUUUCUAACUGUAACAGAAAUGGAUGUUUAUUCACCAAAAGUGGAUACAUCACCAAGUAGCAUGAUUAAUGGAAUGAAUCAUUCUGAUGAAUUUGAGUCUGCUGAAGCCUUAAUUCAUGAAAAUGAUUUAAUUCAAGGAAAGGGAAUUUCUAGUGAGAUAUUUUAUGAGGCACAAGGUGGUGAGAGUUCGGAUUUUGUUUCUGUUGCUUUCUCAAUGAGGAGUUCCAGUUCUCCUGAUUAUCAGGGUAUAGAUAUGCAGAUGAGUAUCCAUAUGUCCAAACUAGAGUUCUUUUGCAACAGACCCACUCUUGUUGCUUUAAUUGGUUUUGGUUUUGAUCUAAGAGCUGUUAAUUAUGUGGUGAAUCAAAUGGACAUGAAUAAGAGCUCAGAUGAGAGUUCUUUGACCAACAAUGAAAAGAAAGAAGAUAAUGGGCGUGUAAAGGGGUUGCUGGGUUAUGGUAAAGAUCGUGUGAUGUUUUAUUUUACCAUGAAUGUUGAUACUGUGUCUGUGUUUUUGAACAAGGAGGACGGUUCUCAGCUUGCAAUGUUUGUGCAAGAGAGUUUUCUAUUAGACUUUAAGGUCUACCCAAGUGCCAUCUAUAUUGAAGGAACAUUGGGAAAUUUCAGACUUUGUGAUAUGUCUCUUGGUGCAGAUCACUGUUGGGGUUGGUUUUGUGAUAUACGCAAUCCUGGGGUCGAAUCCCUUAUCAAGUUCAAAUUUGACUCUUAUAAUGUUGGAGAUGACAAUUAUGAAGGAUAUGACUACAGCUUGUCUGGUCGGCUAUCGGGUGUUCGAAUUGUUUUUCUCUACAGGUUUAUCCAAGAGAUAUCUGCUUACUUUAUGGAACUUGCUACGCCACAUUCUGAAGAAGUUAUAAAACUCGUUGAUAAAGUUGGAGGCUUUGAGUGGUUAAUUAAAAAAUAUGAGAUGGAUGGAGCCCCUGCAUGGAAGCUGGACCUCUCACUUGACACUCCUAUAAUUAUUGUUCCUAGGAAUUCAGUGAGCAAAGAUUUCAUUCAACUUGAUUUGGGCCAGUUAAAGGUAACAAAUGAAAUUAAUUGGCAUGGAAGCUCAGAGAAGGAUCCUUCUGCCGUUCAUAUUGAUGUUCUUCAUGCUGAGAUUACAGGGGUCAACAUGUCUGUAGGAAUUAACGGUUCUUUAGGUAAACCAAUGAUACAAGAUGGGCAAGGACUUGAUAUUUUUGUUCGUCGGAGUUUGAGGGAUGUUUUCAGGAAACUCCCAACAUUUUCUCUUGAAGUUAAGGUGGGUUCCUUGCAUGUUGUGAUGUCUGACAAAGAAUAUCAUGUUAUUUUAAAUUGUACUUCUAUGAAUUUAAAUGAAGCACCCAAUCUCCCUGCAAGUUUUCGUGGCAGCAAAUCUGAUUCCAAUGAAACAAUGCGCAUGUUGGUCGACAAGGUCAAUUUGAAUAGUCAGAUUCUACUGUCCCAUAGUGUUACCGUUUUAGCAGUUGAAGUUGAAUACGCCCUCUUGGAGCUGUGCACUGGCAUUAUUGAGGAGUCACCUUUAGCUCAUGUUGCAUUGGAAGGAUUUUGGGUGUCAUAUCGGAUGACUUCAUCAUCUGAGAGAGAUCUCUAUGUUACAAUUCCUAAGUUUUCAAUCAUGGACAUUCGCCCUGGUACAAAACCUGAAAUGCGUCUGAUGCUUGGAUCAUCCACUGAUGCUUCCAAACAACCUUCUAGUGGAAAAGCACCUUUCUUAAAUGAGAGAAGUUUCAAGGCACCGACUUCUGAAGUUGGCAUGGACAUAGAUGUACCUGUUUCAACAAUGUUGUUGAUGGACUAUAGAUGUCGAGCAUCCUCUCAGUCAUAUGUGGUUCGGGUUCAGCAACCUCGUGUCUUGGUUGUUCCAGAUUUCCUACUUGCCGUUGGUGAGUUUUUUGUACCAGCUUUGGGGACAAUAACUGGAAGAGAUGAAAUAAUGGAUCCUAAGAAUGAUCCUAUAAGUAGAAACCAUAGCAUAGUUCUCAAUGGACCUGUUCACUUGCAGAGUGAAGAUGUGGUGCAUUUGUCUCCAAGUAGACAGUUAAUUGCUGAUGUUGUUGGUGUAGAGGAAUAUACUUAUGAUGGUUGUGGAAAGAUUAUUUGUUUAAGUGCAGAAAAACAUUUGAAGGAUUUCCUGUCAGCAAAAUAUCAACCAAUUAUAAUAAUUGGACGUGGCAAGAGAUUGCGGUUUAUUAAUGUCAAAAUUGAGAAUGGUUUGCUUUUGAGGAACUAUACAUACUUGAGCAAUGAUAGCAGCUACUCGGUUGCAAUAGAAGAUGGUGUUGACAUCUUGGUUUCAGAUAAUUUUUCAGUUGAUGAUGACAAGAAAAAUGUAGAUCACAUGCCUGAAUAUUAUGCUGCCUCUAAUGUGUCUUCACAUUCUCAAAGUGAUUCAAAAGUGAUCCAAAGUUUGACUUUCGAAGCCCAGGUGGUUUCUCCCGAAUUAGUUUUCUAUGAUGGUACAAAGUCUUCUUUGGAUGAUUCCUUGUACAGUGAAAAGCUUCUAUGUGCUAAAAUGGAUCUGAGCUUCAGGUAUGCAUCAAAAGAAAAUGAUACCUGGAUUCAUGCUCUUUUGAAGGAUUUGAUCAUUGAGGCUGGUUCUGGUCUGAUCAUUCUGGAUCCAGUGGAUAUUUCUGGUGGAUACACUUCUGGUAAAAAGAAAACGAAUAUGUCUUUGAUGUCAACUGAUGUAUUUCUCCAUCUUUCUUUGGGUGUCCUUUCUCUUCUACUUAAUCUACAUAGUCAGGUAGCCACAGCUCUACAAUUUGGAAAUAUGGUUCCCUUGGCUUCAUGUACCAACUUCAACCAGAUCUGGAUGUCUCCUAAAGAAAAUGGGUCGAGUAACAAUGUUACCAUAUGGAGGCCUGAAGCUCCAUCAAAUUAUGUUAUACUGGGAGAUUGUGUGACAUCAAGGUCUAUUCCUCCUUCACAGGCAGUAAUGGCAGUCAGUAAUACAUAUGGACGUGUUCGUAAACCAAUUGGUUUUAAUUUCAUCGGCUUGCUCUCUCGUGUUCAAGGAAUUGAAGGUCAUUCUGAUGUUAAAUGUGACUGUUCACUUUGGAUGCCCAUUGCACCACCUGGUUACACUGCAAUGGGCUGUGUAGCAAAUGUUGGAGACCAACCACCCUCAAAUCACAUUGUGUAUUGUCUACGUUCUGACCUUGUCACAUCCACAACAUUUUCAGAAUGCAUAUUUAGUGCCCCAUCAAAUCCUGGAUUCACAUCUGGAUUUAGCAUCUGGCGCAUGGACAAUGUUCUUGGAUCAUUUUAUGCACAUUCUUCAAUUGAAUGCCCUUCCAAAGGCAUUAGCUGUGACCUGAAUCAUGUUCUUCUUUGGAACUCAAUUCAAUCACAUUUGCCUACUGAAGCAUCUUCAUCAAGUUUAACUGAUGAUCAUGAGCAUGGGCAUCAGCAAACAAGUACUGAUGGUGCAAACUCAUCUGGUUGGGAUGGUGUUAGGUCAAUUUCAAAAGCAACUAGUUGUUACACAUCAACCCCUCAUUUUGAAAGAAUCUGGUGGGACAAAGGUAGUGAGUUAUGCAGGCCAGUCUCAAUUUGGCGACCUAUAACACGGUCUGGCUAUGCUAUGUUGGGGGAUUGUGUAAUUGAAGGCUUAGAACCGCCUAAUCUGGGGAUAAUUUUUAAGUCUGGCAAUCCUGAAAUCUCUGCAAAGCCUGUGCAAUUUACUAAAGUUGCCCAUAUUGUUGGAAGAGGCUUUGAUGAAGCUUUUUUCUGGUAUCCAGUUGCCCCUUCUGGUUAUGCUUCUCUAGGAUGUGUAGUCUCCAAAGCAGAUCAGGCACCAAGUAUUGAUUUAGUUUGCUGCCCAAGGAUUGAUAUCGUUAAGCAAGCUAAUAUCCUUGAUGUGCCGAUUUCUAGAUCUUCAAGCUCUAAGGCAUCUCAGUGUUGGAGCAUUUGGAAAGUUGAAAAUCAGGGUUGUACUUUUAUUGCACAUUCUGACCUGAAAAAACCAUCAAGCCAACUGGCUUACACUAUUUGUGAUUCUGUGAAGCCAAAAACACGAGAAAAUGUAACUGCUGAGGUGAAGCUGAGACGCUUCUCUUUAACUGUUCUGGGUAGCUUGUGCGGAAUGAUGACACCUCUAUUUGACACAACAAUCACCAAUAUAAGGCUUUCAACUCAUGGUCUGGUGGAGUCCAUGAAUGCUGCAUUGAUUUGCUCAAUUGCUGCUUCAACCUUCAACACACAGUUAGAAUCAUGGGAACCAUUGAUAGAGUCAUUUGAUGGAAUAUUCAAGUUUGAAACAUAUGAUACCAGUGUACGUCCAACUUCUAGUAUAGGGAAGAGAGUGCAUGUCACUGCAACCAAUAUUCUUAAUAUAAAUGUCAGUGCUGCAAAUGUAGAAACUUUUGUGGAGACCAUUCUUUCAUGGAGAAGACAGCUAGAAUUUGAACAGAAGACUAUCAAAUUACAUGAGGAGACUGAUAAUCAUUUUAGAAGUGGAGAGGACACUACCAUGUCAGUACUGAAUGUUGAUGAUUUCAAGACUGUAAUGGUAGAAAAUAAACUUGGGUGUGAUAUUUAUCUGAAAAAGGUUGAAGAACAUCCAGACACGGUUGCCCAACUGCAUCAUGGUGACUGUGCAUCUGUCUGUAUUCCACCUCCAAGGUUUUCAGACAGGUUAAAUGUUGUGGAUGAAUCUAGGGAAGCACGCUGUUAUAUUGUUGUGCAGAUUAUUGAGGCCAAGGGUUUACCCAUAAUUGAUGAUGGUAACAGUCAUAACUUCUUCUGUGCUUUGCGCCUUGUUGUUGAUAGCCAGGUGUCAGAUCAGCAAAAGCUUUUCCCUCAGAGUGCAAGGACAAAAUGUGUGAAGCCUUUAGUUUCAGAAUCCAGUGGUCUAGUUGAAGGCACAGCCAAGUGGAAUGAGCUUUUCAUAUUUGAAGUUCCUCGGAAGGGGCUGGCCAAUGUAGAAGUGGAGGUGACAAACCUUGCAGCGAAAGCUGGGAAAGGUGAAGUUAUUAGUGCUCUCUCCUUUCCUGUUGGCCAUGGUGUUAAUAUGUUAAAGAAUGUAGGGUCUACAAGGAUGUUGAAUCAAUCAUAUGAUGUUCAGGAUAUUGUAUCUUACUCGCUGAGGAGAAAGGCUCAGCCCAAUAAUGAUGGAGACAUGCAGGACAGUGGACACUUGUUUGUUUCCAAUUCUUAUUUUGAGAGGAAGACAAUAGCAAGCAUGCAAAGGGAUGCUGGUAGUGAGAGUCAUAUAGAUAGAGAAGUAGGCUUUUGGGUUGGUCUCCACCCUGAUGGUGCUAUGAAGAGCAUCCGUUCAUUGCUUCCAUUGUCAGUAGUUCCUAAAUCAUUUGAUAAUGAGUUUAUUGCUACGGAAGUUAUAUUGAAGAAUGGAAAGAAACAUGCAAUUUUCAGGGGACUUGUGACUGUUGUUAAUGAUGCAGAUUUCACAUUGGGGAUAUCUGUAUGUCAUAGUUCUUUUGUCAAUGAUAAGAAUGACUCUUUGGGAAUAAGCAAUUGUAAUGUAAUUGUGGAAGAGAUCUUUGAAAAUCAAUAUUUUCAACCAAAUUCUGGCUGGGGUGACAAGAGGCCUGGCUCUCUUAAUAAUGGUCCGGGGCAUUGGAGCACCAAUGUUUCAUAUUCAUCAAAUGAAUUCUUCGAACCUCCCCUUCCCCCUGGUUGGUGCUGGACUUCAGCAUGGACUGUUGCUAAAUCCCAGCUUGUUGAUGAUGAUGGCUGGGCAUAUGGGCCUGGCCAUCAAAGUCUGAAAUGGCCUCUAAUGUCUUCAAAGUCACGUAUGAAAUCAGUUAAUGAUGUUAUGCGGCGACGGCGUUGGAUCCGUAUUAGACAACAAGUCACUGAUCGAGGUGGACGUAACACGGAGGGUGAUUUUCUUAUCUUAACUCCUGGAUCUUCUGCUGUUUUACCAUGGAGAUUUACAUUUAAGGAUAGCAACUACUGUUUACAAAUUCUUCCUGUUGAUGAUGAGUCCUCUUGUACAUGGGCUCGUGCUGUUGCUAUUGGUUCCAACUUUGCAUUUGGAAAAGACCAGGCUUUGGUGGAUCAAGUUUCACUCUACAGACAAAGUACAUUGAAACAAGGAAGCAAAUUCUCUAAUCUCACUUUCAAGUUGAACCAACUCGAGAAGAAGGAUUUACUUUUUUGUUGUUCUAGUACUGGAAGUAAACAAAUUUGGCUGAGUGUGGGAGCAGAUGCCUCCGUUCUUCACACUGAACUGAAUACUCCAGUUUAUGAUUGGAGAAUAUCUAUUAACUCUCCUUUGAAGUUGGAAAACCGACUUCCUUGUCCAUCUGAGUUUACAGUCUGGGAGAAAACCAAAGAAGGGCGUUAUGUAGAAAGACAGCAUGGCAUAAUCUCUUCACGUGAGAGUGAACAUAUAUAUGCAGCAGAUGUCCAGAGACCUCUAUAUCUUACAUUGUUUGUUCAGGGUGGUUGGGUCCUCGAAAAGGACCCUGUUCUUGUUUUAGAUCUUUCUUCAAAUGCAAACAUUUCAUCAUUUUGGAUGUUCCACAAGCAAAGUAAAAGGAGAUUGCGUGUGAAUAUUGAAAGAGACAUGGGGGGAUCCACUGUUGCUCCCAAAACCAUAAGGUUCUUCGUUCCAUAUUGGAUUAUCAAUGAUUCAUCUCUGCCUUUGGCAUACCGAGUUGUGGAAAUUGAAUCUUCUGACAAUGCAGAGAUGGAUUCUAACUCACUAUCUAGAGCUGUUAAGUCAGCAAGAACAGCUUUGAAAAAUCCUACAUUCUCAAUGGAUAGGAGACAGUCUAGCUGUAGAAGAAACAUUCAAGUAGUUGAAGUUAUCGAGGACACUAGUCCUGUACCUAGCAUGCUUUCUCCACAAGAUUCUGCAGGUCGCAGUGGUGUCAUGUUGUUUCAAUCUCAGAAAGAUGCAUAUGUAUCCCCUCGGGUGGGCAUUGCUGUUGCUAUUCGCAGCUCUGAAAUUUAUGAUCCUGGGAUUUCACUGCUUGAGCUGGAAAAGAAGGAACGAGUUGAUGUCACAGCAUGCAGUUCUGAUGGAUCUUAUUACAAACUUUCAGCUAUAUUGAACAUGACCUCAGAUAGAACUAAGGUUGUUCAUUUUCAGCCACAAACCUUAUUUAUUAACAGGGUUGGUCUUAGUCUCUGCCUGCAACAGUGUGAUUCUCAGUUUGUGGAGUGGAUUCAUCCGACCGAUCCUCCAAAGCCCUUUAGAUGGCAUUGUUCUGCCAAAGUUGAGUUGUUGAAGCUGCGGGUGCGCGGAUAUAAAUGGAGUACCCCUUUUAGUGUUAGUAAUGAAGGUGCUAUGUGCAUUUCUUUAAAUUCAGAUACUGGAAGUGCUCAAUUGCAGCUUAGGGUUGCAGUUAGAGGUGGAACAAAGAGCUCACGCUAUGAAGUUAUUUUUCGUUUGAAUUCCUUUUCAAGCCCUUACAGGAUUGAAAAUUGUUCCAUGUUUCUACCCGUUCGUUUCCGGCAAGUUGAUGGUACCAGUGAUUCAUGGCGGUUUCUUCUUCCCAAUUCUGCUGCUUCUUUUCUAUGGGAAGAUCUUGGUAGACGACAUUUACUGGAACUUGUAGUUGAUGGAACUGAUAUAUCAAAGUCAGAAAAGUAUGAUAUUGAUGAGAUUUUUGAUCACCAGCCCAAUAUGGGGGCAGCUGGUGGCCCUGCUGCAGCUCUACGUGUUACCAUUCUGAAAGAAGAGAGGACAAAUGUUGUUAAGAUCACUGAUUGGAUGCCUGAAAAUGAACCAGCAGCAAUUAUGAGUAGAAGAAUCCAAUCACCACUGUCUCAAGUUUCUAGAAAUGACUCACAAAAUCAACAGUCACUGUCCUCCUUAGAUUGUGAAUUUCAUGUCAUUGUUGAACUGGCUGAACUUGGAAUAUCCAUUGUAGACCAUACACCUGAGGAGAUAUUAUACUUGUCAGUACAGAAUGUUCUUCUAGCUUAUUCUACUGGCUUGGGGUCUGGAUUUAGUAGGUUCAAAUUCAGACUGCGUGGAAUACAAGUGGAUAACCAGCUACCAUUAACUCUGAUGCCAGUUCUUUUCCGGCCUCAAAGAGCUGUGGAGGAGACUGAUUAUAUAUUGAAAUUUUGGUUCAGUCAGCAGACAAAUGGAUCUUUAGAUUUAUAUGUCUAUCCAAAUAUUGGUUUUUUUGUACCUGAAAAUUGUACCUUUCUAAUAAACAUUCACGAACCUGUUAUUUGGCGUCUUCAUGAGAUGAUCCAGCAAGUAAACAUUCAUAGAUUAUAUGAUACUCGAAGAUCUGCAGUUUCGGUUGAUCCAUUCAUUCAAAUCGGUGCUCUUAAUAUCUCGGAGAUUCGAUUCAAAGUAUCAAUGACGAUGUCACCUAGUCAACGACCAAGAGGAGUACUUGGGUUUUGGUCAUCAUUAAUGACUGCGUUGGGUAAUACUGAAAAUAUGACUGUCAGGAUAAAUCAAAGAUUUCAUGAGAAUAUGUGCAUGCGGCAGAGUACUAUGACUAGUAAUGCUAUAGCAAAUAUUAGAAAGGAUCUUCUUGGCCAACCUUUGCAACUGCUCUCGGGUCUUGAUAUAUUGGGAAAUGCUAGCAGUGCACUUGGACAUAUGAGCAAAGGUGUGGCUGCCCUAUCAAUGGACAAGAAAUUCAUCCUGAACAGACAGGAGAGCAAAGGUGUAGAGGACUUUGGUGAUUUUAUCAGAGAGGGAGGCGGUGCCUUAGCAAAGGGUCUAUUCAGAGGUGUUACUGGCAUAUUAACAAAGCCUCUUGAAGGAGCAAAAUCUUCUGGUGUUGAGGGUUUUGUUCAAGGUGUAGGUAAAGGAAUAAUAGGUGCAGCUGCCCAACCAGUUAGUGGGGUUCUCGAUCUUCUAUCAAAGACUACUGAAGGUGCAAAUGCUAUGAGAAUGAAGAUAGCAUCAGCUAUAGCUUCAGAUGAGCAACUUCUACGUAGGAGACUGCCACGUGUAAUUGGUGGUGAUAAUUUGCUUCAUCCAUAUGAUGAGUACAAAGCACAAGGACAGGUUAUACUGCAGCUGGCAGAAUCAGGUUCAUUUUUUGGGCAAGUUGAUCUUUUUAAAGUACGUGGGAAGUUUGCCUUAUCAGAUGCUUAUGAAGAUCACUUUUUACUGCCCAAAGGAAAGAUCCUUAUGGUCACACAUAGGAGAGUUAUACUUUUGCAGCAACCCUCCAACAUCGUUGCUCAGAGAAAGUUUAGCCCUGCUAGGGAUCCAUGUUCUAUUUUGUGGGAUGUACUGUGGGAUGACCUCAUAACAAUGGAAUUGACUCAUGGAAAAAAGGACAAUCCAAAAGCUUUCCCUUCUAGGGUUGUUCUUUAUCUACACAUCAGAUCAACAGAAACGAAGGAACAAGUUCUUGUUAUAAAAUGCAGCAGUGAGACCCAUCAGGCAGUGGAAGUUUACUCUUCAAUUGAGCGAGCAAGGAACACCUAUGGGAAUAAUCUUUCAAAGGAGAUGCUGAAAAAGAAAGUAAUGAAACCAUAUACACCACUUGGCAGUGGCAACAGUGAAGUAAAUCCAAAAGAAGGGGUCUACAUUUGGUCUCCUCAACAGGUGCCUGGAUCAGUUCCUUUCGGUUCAUCUUUUGGCAGUAGCAGUGGUUGAUUGGAUAACUCAUUGCCCAUGUUUCUGUGAUGUGAAAUCUUUUUUCCCCAUUCCCGCUGUUCUUGCAUAUAUUUCUUCCGCCAUAUGUAAUAGUUUCCUGUCCCAUAUCGGAAAUAAUUUGCAGUUGAAACAAGAAAGCCAUUUAUCUGAAAAUAGACAGACAUAUACAGCUUGGUGAUAAUUUUGUAUAGUAAACAUAUAUAGAUUCCGUAGAACAUAGAGAAGUGGUGGGCUUGAAGGAUUUUUUAUUGUUAGUAAAAAUAAAUUUUAUAAAGUUUGUGCUUAAUUUCAUCUUUUGUAAGUAGACUUGGGGACGAUAUUUGAAUUAGUUACAUACAUGCAAACCUUUGUAUAUUGAGGAGAAAGCCUCUCAAGGUAGAUUUGAGUCAAAUUGGUUUAAACUUGAAUUUAUGUAUAACAAGAAAGAGUUGAAUUCUGAGUUGAA
This is an RNA transcript of Mangifera indica (mango), 13543 nucleotides long. RefSeq lists it as uncharacterized. The record is from RefSeq and is a predicted model, not a curated record. The transcript is spliced from 64 exons. NCBI's taxonomy places the organism in Eukaryota, Viridiplantae, Streptophyta, Magnoliopsida, Sapindales, Anacardiaceae.